UAUUGGACAAUGGGGGAAACCCUUAUCCAGCGACGCCGCGUGAGGGAAGAAGGUUUUCGGAUUGUAAACCUCUGUCAGCAGGGAAGAAGAUGACGGUACCUGACUAAGAAGCUCCGGCUAAAUACGUGCCAGCAGCCGCGGUAAUACGUAUGGAGCAAGCGUUAUCCGGAUUUACUGGGUGUAAAGGGAGCGUAGGCGGCCUGGCAAGUCUGGUGUGAAAUACCGGGGCCCAACCCCGGGACUGCAUUGGAAACUGCCAGGCUGGAGUGUCGGAGGGGCAGGCGGAAUUCCUAGUGUAGCGGUGAAAUGCGUAGAUAUUAGGAGGAACACCGGUGGCGAAGGCGGCCUGCUGGACGACAACUGACGCUGAGGCUCGAAAGCGUGGGGAGCAAACAGG
Molecule: ribosomal RNA, 397 nt
Filed under: uncultured bacterium
Lineage: Bacteria
Description: bacterial SSU rRNA
Rfam family: Bacterial small subunit ribosomal RNA
Source: RNAcentral